Molecule: ribosomal RNA, 121 nt
Filed under: Pteropus alecto (black flying fox)
Lineage: Eukaryota; Metazoa; Chordata; Mammalia; Chiroptera; Pteropodidae
Source: RNAcentral
GUCUAUGGCCAUGCUACCUUGAACACACCCGAUCCUCUCUGAUCUCGGAAGCUAAGCAGGGUCGGGCCUGGCUAGUAUUUGGAGGGGAGAGACUACCUAGGAAGACCAGGUGCUGUAGGUG